GAAAAAUAAUACAAGACAACUUCCAUUUAUGAGAGCUGCAUCCUCUUGUAUUUGACACAUUCAUGCAUAUAACUUCAAGUAGCUUUACAGACAUUUGAUCUGCACCCAAAUGUUCAUUCUUCAGCAACAGUAUACUCCAUCAAAAUUGCAGCAGUUCGAUACCCAAGUUAACUGUGGAAUAAAAUCCCCUAGGCAAAUUAGCUUAAAACAUGCCUUAGCUUUAAUCACUUGCAGACCUUUGCUCUAAUAUCCUGCUGCCUACUGUUGACUCAUCAUAAGAUUUUGCUUGUCCCAUCUCAGACAAAAAAGUAUCCACAGCCUAAACAGGUCAGCCAACCUCUGCUACAAUUUCUUUGACAUCUAUAUCAGCUAGAGUCUCCUUGCCAAACAGAGAAAAUCCAACAGUAGCCAAUCCUGCCUUGCUAUCAACCUUCUUGAGAAUCCCUGAAAAUCCAGCAAAGGCUCCGGACACAACUUCAAUAGUUGACCCUGGUAUUAAAGAUUUAUCAUCUGAUCCUCUCAACGCAUCAACUGCAAGCAGGUCUGAAGCUUUUUUAGAUUGCCUUCCUCGUUUUUUGGGCACAGCUUUGUCGUCAAGGGUAGCUAUACUAGAGUUUUUUGUCAGCUUGGAAUCUAAACCUCCUUCUCCUUGUUCCUCUUCUUCAAAAGCUUGAUCAGCUUUCUCUUGCUCUUCCUUCGCUUGUUUGAAUAUGGCCUCCAGGUCAUCCUCAUCAACAGGUCUGGGUUUGUUGAUCUGCCGUUUUGUAUUUCCAACCUUGGAUCCAACAAAGCCUCCAAUUCCAGUACAUUCUCGAAUGAAAUCAUGUAUUUCCUUGUUCAGUACACAUCUCAGAAACACACAUCCUGGGAAAAGGGGUUUUGGCUUAAUUGAAAGUGUUCCAUUUUUUAAUUUCCUUUUGACUUGUACGGAUGGAAUGUAUACCUGAAAAUCAAUAUCAGGAAAGUUCCUAGCAAGAGCACGAGCCAUCCGUUCAGCAGUUUCAUGACCAUUAACUCUAGAAACUCUAACAACCCACCAUUGAGGACCCAAUUUAGCAAGGUUAUCAAGAUUAAGCUCUUCAGUCCAGGACUUGUAUUGCUUCUUAGGUUUCUUAAUAAGCUUUUCCUCUACUUCUUCUCUCCAAUUGUAACCUGUUUUACUCUCUCUUCUCUCAUUUCUCAUUUGCCUUCUCUCUUUAGCUGUUAGCAAAUUCUCUUCAGGUGACUCCACAGUUGCAUAAACCCUUAAAAGGGUUUUUUGGGUUUUCGGUAAAAUGGAGAUUGGUGAUAAUUUGGGAAGAAAUGGAGGACAAUGACUCCAUGAGAGUACAGCUUGC
RNAcentral lists this unclassified non-coding RNA (1337 nucleotides) under Hevea brasiliensis (rubber tree). The record is from RNAcentral. Lineage: Eukaryota; Viridiplantae; Streptophyta; Magnoliopsida; Malpighiales; Euphorbiaceae.